RNAcentral lists this small RNA (785 nucleotides) under Pan troglodytes (chimpanzee). RNAcentral describes it as "retained intron". Lineage: Eukaryota; Metazoa; Chordata; Mammalia; Primates; Hominidae. The record is from RNAcentral.
GCCUGCGCUCCCUGGGCUAUGACCUGCCCAUGGUGGAGGAAGGGGAACCUGACCCUGAGUUCGAGGCAAUCCUGGACACGGUGGAUCCGAACAGGUAAAUUAAUUAAGGCCAGGUGCUGUGAGCCUCUGCCCUGGGCACCCACCUGCCCUCCCUGCUCAGGCUCUUGCUUCUCCCCCUCCUAGAGAUGGCCAUGUCUCCCUGCAAGAAUACAUGGCUUUCAUGAUCAGCCGCGAAACUGAGAACGUCAAGUCCAGCGAGGAGAUUGAGAGCGCCUUCCGGGCCCUCAGCUCAGAGGGAAAGCCUUACGUGACCAAGGAGGAGCUCUACCAGAACCUGACCCGGGAACAAGCCGACUACUGCGUCUCCCACAUGAAGCCCUACGUGGACGGCAAGGGCCGCGAGCUCCCCACCGCGUUCGACUACGUGGAGUUCACCCGCUCGCUUUUCGUGAACUGAGCCACUCCCUGGGUCACCCACCCCUCGCUGCUUGCCCUGCGUCGCCUUGCUGCAUGUCCGCUCCUCUGUGUGCUCUCACUUUCCACUGUAACCUUAAGCCUGCUUAGCUUGGAAUAAGACUUAGGAGAAAAUGGUGCUUCACUAACCCGCUUCCGGUCCAGUCACAAUCAUCACGUCACUGUGGGGACCCAGAUCUGUGUCUUGAAGCAGCUGCCCUCAUUCCGACUUCAGAAAAUCGAAGCAUCUGGCUCCUCCCCUUGUUCUCUCUCCCACCCUCCCGCAAAUCUGUUUUCAUGUAAAAGACAAAUAAAUGAUGACUUCCCCCAAA